GUCCCAGUGGCCUAAUCGGUAAGUCAUUAGCCUCCUAAGCUAGGGAUUUGGGUUCGAGCCCCACCAUGGGUG
Molecule: transfer RNA, 72 nt
Filed under: Ovis aries (sheep)
Lineage: Eukaryota; Metazoa; Chordata; Mammalia; Artiodactyla; Bovidae
Rfam family: tRNA
About the family: Transfer RNA (tRNA) molecules are approximately 80 nucleotides in length. Their secondary structure includes four short double-helical elements and three loops (D, anti-codon, and T loops).
Source: Rfam by way of RNAcentral